GGGUUGUGAGGUUAAGCGACUAAGCGUACACGGUGGAUGCCCUGGCAGUCAGAGGCGAUGAAGGACGUGCUAAUCUGCGAAAAGCGUCGGUAAGGUGAUAUGAACCGUUAUAACCGGCGAUGUCCGAAUGGGGAAACCCAGUGUGAUUCGUCACACUAUCGUUAACUGAAUACAUAGGUUAACGAGGCGAACCGGGGGAACUGAAACAUCUAAGUACCCCGAGGAAAAGAAAUCAACCGAGAUUCCCCCAGUAGCGGCGAGCGAACGGGGAGCAGCCCAGAGUCUGAAUCAGCUUGUGUGUUAGUGGAACGGUCUGGAAAGUCCGACGGUACAGGGUGAUAGUCCCGUACACCAAAAUGCACAGGCUGUGAACUCGAAGAGUAGGGCGGGACACGUGGUAUCCUGUCUGAAUAUGGGGGGACCAUCCUCCAAGGCUA
This 437-nucleotide ribosomal RNA is filed under the name Klebsiella pneumoniae. RNAcentral describes it as "partial 23S ribosomal RNA". It matches the Rfam family "Bacterial large subunit ribosomal RNA", at positions 1 to 468 of the family's 2925-position model. The record is from RNAcentral. Lineage: Bacteria; Pseudomonadati; Pseudomonadota; Gammaproteobacteria; Enterobacterales; Enterobacteriaceae.